Molecule: ribosomal RNA, 450 nt
Filed under: uncultured bacterium
Lineage: Bacteria
Description: partial 16S ribosomal RNA
Rfam family: Bacterial small subunit ribosomal RNA
Source: RNAcentral
GUGGGGAAUCUUCCGCAAUGGACGAAAGUCUGACGGAGCAACGCCGCGUGAACGAUGACGGCCUUCGGGUUGUAAAGUUCUGUUAUACGGGACGAAUGGUACGACGGCCAAUACCCGUCGUAAGUGACGGUACCGUAAGAGAAAGCCACGGCUAACUACGUGCCAGCAGCCGCGGUAAUACGUAGGUGGCAAGCGUUGUCCGGAAUUAUUGGGCGUAAAGGGCGCGCAGGCGGCGUCGUAAGUCGGUCUUAAAAGUGCGGGGCUUAACCCCGUGAGGGGACCGAAACUGCGAUGCUAGAGUAUCGGAGAGGAAAGCGGAAUUCCUAGUGUAGCGGUGAAAUGCGUAGAUAUUAGGAGGAACACCAGUGGCGAAAGCGGCUUUCUGGACGACAACUGACGCUGAGGCGCGAAAGCCAGGGGAGCAAACGGGAUUAGAUACCCUGGUAGUCC